ACGCAAGUGUGAAACUUGAAGGAAUUGACGGAAGGGCACCACAAGAACGCGUGGAGCAUGUGGCUUAAUUUGACCCAACGCGGGAAAUCUUACCGGGUCCGGACACACUGAGGAUUGACAGGCAAUAUUGGAAUGUGUUUUUACGCAUUCCAUGUUAAAUAUGCUAGUCCUUUCAUGAUUAUGUGAUAGGUGGUGCAUGGCCGUUCUUAGUUCGUGGAGUGAUCUGUCUGCUUAAUUGCGUUUCACUAAGGGCUUAUUAAUUACGUGUGUAGCACUCUCUUUGACCCCUCUUUAUUGAGCGCGUGUCUUAGAUGAUUAUGCUCGCACAAUUAAGUCCUGAAAGCAACGAACGUGACCG
This 358-nucleotide ribosomal RNA is filed under the name Foraminifera environmental sample. RNAcentral describes it as "SSU rRNA". It matches the Rfam family "Eukaryotic small subunit ribosomal RNA", at positions 1129 to 1441 of the family's 1831-position model. The record is from RNAcentral. Lineage: Eukaryota; Foraminifera.